This 249-nucleotide long non-coding RNA is filed under the name Canis lupus familiaris (dog). RNAcentral's name for it is "lncRNA (ENSCAFG00000056348.1, ENSCAFG00805002474.1, ENSCAFG00845015844.1)". Lineage: Eukaryota; Metazoa; Chordata; Mammalia; Carnivora; Canidae. The record is from RNAcentral.
CUAACAUGUUCAAUAUAAAUAUCAAUGUAACUUAAUUUCAUAAAACUUAAUAUAAAUACAAAUCUUAUGGAAAAUACACAUACACAUUAUUUUUUCUCAUUGCAGUCAUCAGUGACACUUGCCGAAUUAUCAUCUCGGCACAACUGUAGCCUACUGACCAGAACCCUCUAGAUCCUGGAGUGGGAAUGAAGAGGGGAAGAUAUGCACACUUGACUCUCCUUCUGACCUGGCAAUGUCUUUAUUUCCGUG